Molecule: small nucleolar RNA, 233 nt
Filed under: Capsicum annuum
Lineage: Eukaryota; Viridiplantae; Streptophyta; Magnoliopsida; Solanales; Solanaceae
Description: Plant small nucleolar RNA U3
Rfam family: Plant small nucleolar RNA U3
About the family: Small nucleolar RNAs (snoRNAs) are involved in the processing and modification of rRNA in the nucleolus. There are two main classes of snoRNAs: the box C/D class, and the box H/ACA class.
Source: Rfam by way of RNAcentral
ACGACCUUACUUGAACAGGAUCUGUUCUAUAGGCUCGUAUAUCCUUGAAUUCUAAGGAGACGGGAAUCUAAGUCUGGUGGAUGACUCGUGGCCAUUAGACCAGAGCGUGAUUAACAGUCCCCAUGGCCUUUGGGGUCAUGGUGCCCUGUCUGACCGAUUUCAAAUCUCUUGUCCUUUUACUAUUCCUUAUCUAGAUUGUUUAUUUUGAGCCGGGGGUCUAUCGGAAACAGCCU